GACAGAGGUGGCAAGCGUUGUUCGGAAUUACUGGGCGUAAAGGGCGCGUAGGCGGCUUGGUAAGUCCCGUGUGAAAUCCCUCGGCUCAACCGAGGAAUGGCACGGGAAACUGCCUGGCUUGAGUUCGGGAGAGGGAAGCGGAAUUCCGGGUGUAGCGGUGAAAUGCGUAGAUAUCCGGAGGAACACCGGUGGCGAAGGCGGCUUCCUGGACCGACACUGACGCUGAGGCGCGAAAGCUAGGGGAGCAAACGGG
This 253-nucleotide ribosomal RNA is filed under the name uncultured bacterium. Its description in RNAcentral is "partial 16S ribosomal RNA". It matches the Rfam family "Bacterial small subunit ribosomal RNA", at positions 524 to 776 of the family's 1533-position model. The record is from RNAcentral.